This 5303-nucleotide long non-coding RNA is filed under the name Homo sapiens (human). RNAcentral's name for it is "non-protein coding lnc-CLASP2-1:9". The record is from RNAcentral. Lineage: Eukaryota; Metazoa; Chordata; Mammalia; Primates; Hominidae.
AGCGGCGAGCGACGGCUGGCAGACAACCUACCCACUCCCAGCCCCGCGCCCACCUCAGGAGCGUCUCGAGCGCGCCCUCGUGCUUGUCCAGCGGACGACCGACUGCGGCGCGGCGCAGCUUGCUGAGCUCCUCCGCCGCGCGGCAGUACUGGGCCUGCUCUUCCCCGCCGCUUGGGUAAGUCUGCUGGAUGAACUUCACCAGCGGCUUGGCCAGGUCCACCUCUGAGGUCUUUUUCAGCUGCACCGAGAUGAAUGUCGCCAUGAUCAGCGCCUCCGCCGCCGUUCGGGCCAAACAGACCGCGGACAGCUUACGAGGGCCGAGGAGAGAGAGGUACUGGGCUGGCGGACUGGCGGACUGACUGGCUGACAGACUUGCGCUCCGCCUGCGUUCCGGGUCCGGCAACUUCCGGGAGCUCCAGCGCAGGCGCACUGGAUGCGGGGUCCUUAAGCUGUCCGCGGUCACGUGAAGGUGUCGCGGCGGCUACGCCCACCUGGACCCAGUUUACCCUGUACUGUGCUGCAAAAUAUUACUUUCUCCCCAUCUGGAAUUCUUCCCUUCCUCCUUCCUGCCGCAGUGGUGUACUGAGCACUUUCACGUAAGAGUAUUCCUCCACUCGAACAACCCCCCGGAGAAGUACUGGUGUCACUGCCACCUGCGAGAGUUUGCGGCUACCUCCCCAAGAGGCAGUCCCAGGGUUAUUGUGACCUAUGAUGUUUAUUCAACUACUGUUGACGGGCUGCUGUGCACAGGGAACCUAGUAGGCAAGACCCCUGCCAUCGUGCAGCUUACUGUCAGGUUGACACAGACCUUAAGAAAGAACAAAAUUUUAAAUAAAUUAAAAACGACACCUGUAAUUUGAGAAGAUGCUUGAUAUCAGAAGAGGAGAAGAGUGGAGAGGGGUGGAGUGGCAAAGGAGAGCCUCCAAACCAAAAGCCUGCGGCAGAGGCCCUAGGAGGCAAGCACUUAACCAUGUUUCAGGACUAGAAACGAAACAUGUGACAAGACCUUUAAAAACAAAUAGAAUGGGAUGGAAUAAAGUUGGAUGAGUAAGCAGGCAUCAAAUCAUUCAGAAACUUGUUGUCCAAGUUGAAGAAUUUGUUUAGUAUUGUAUAAUAAAUGCAGAGGAAGCUAUAUACACUUAUAAUUUACAUUUUUUAAAGGCCACGUUGUAGCUCAAUCGGAUAGUUUGUCUUUUGAUGGGAUGUAGUAUACAGUAUCAUCAUGGUAUAUUCCAGGCAAAAAUAUUUAACUUGAAUCUGUCAAGCCUUUGCAUCUAACACAGUUUAUAAAAAAUACAACAGAUAGAUGAACAAACUAAAUGAUGCCAGAGGAAGUAACUAGACAGAUCCAGAAGGUGAAACAUUCUGCAGGAUAACUGGCCCAUCUCUUCAACAAUUUGUCAUGAUAAAAGCAACUGCUUUAUGAAAAGAAAUUUAAGGGACAUAACAGUUUGAAUUGGAUCCUGGUUUGAACAGACUGUCUAUAAAAUGCAUUUUCAGGACCAUUAAAGAAAUAUGAAUGUAGAUGGACUGAGUAUUGGAUAAAAUAGAACUGUAUUGCCAUGGAAAAGAUCAUUAACUGAAAAGAGCAAGUCACGAAAUAGUAUGUUACAGCAUCUCAUUUUGGUUUAAAAAUGCACAUAUAUGUAUUUAUGUACAACUAAAAAAAUAGUGGGCUUAUACCCUAAGGUGUUAGUAUUGGUAAUCUUUGGAAGUGGAAAUGUGUAUUUUUUUCUUUGUGUUUGCCUAUCUUUUUCAUUGUAACUUUUGCAGCACAUAGACUACUUUCAUUAUAGUAAAAGUUUAUUUUACCACAAUUUUUUUUUUUUUAGAAAGAGUCUCACUCUGUCACCCAGGCUGGAGUGCAGUGGCACAAUCUCAGCCCACUGCAACCUCCACCUCCCAGGUUCAAGCUAUUCUCCUGCCUCAGCCUUCUGAGUAGCUGGGACUACAGGUGCACACCACAUGCCUGGCUAAUUUUUGUAUUUUUAAUAGAGACUGGAUUUCGCGAUGUUGGCCCGGCUGGUCUCGAACUCCUGGCCUCAAGUGAUCCACCCGCUUUAGCCUCCCAAAGUGCUGGGAUUACAGGCGUGAGCCACUGCACCCGGCCUAUUUUACCACAAUUUAUAAAAAUUUUUGUUUAUUUUAAUUAAGCUAUUCUAUGUUAAAAUAAGUAGCCACCCUUGGCUGAUGCAUAAAGAAAAAAUUAGAGGAAGGAAAGAAUGGAGGCAAGGAGGCAAAUCAUGAGACCAUUUCAGAAAUCAAGACGAAAUCAGGAAAGCUAACAUUAGCAAGAGUGAACCAAACUGAUAAUAUCUUUGAGUUUAAAACUGAAGAAUUUACCAAUGAACUGCAUAGGAAAGUAAAGAAAAGAGAGUGGUCAAGAUAGGUCCUGGUUUUGGGGCCUGAACAUCUGAGUGGUUAGUAGAAUCAUUACCAGUUGAUAACCCAUGGAAGAGGGUGGGGGAUGGGUGGUGUCUUGUAGGUUGGUUGACAGGACUGACCCAUUGGGAAGAUAACGAAGAAGCAAAGUAUAUGAAAAGAGGAGAAAGGGUAACCAGAGGAGGGAGGAUACAAAGGGAGUGAUUAGCCAUCAGAAAGAUGAGGGACAUGACAUUUGUUGAGGCAGAUGGCGGAGAAAAGAAAGUUAACAUAGAUGUGGUUAGUUUUGUGGCAUUGACCAAAGGAAGAUUAAGGUGAUACUAUCUGAUGGCUUGGAAUGAAAACCAAACUCCCUGCCACAACAUGAUGAUCUUUCUCUGCAACUUCAUAUUUUGCCUCUUGUUCCUCAUUUGUUACCACUGAGUCACAAUGGUCUUUUUAGUUUCUCAAACACACCAAGAUCUUUCUUGCCUCAUGUGACCUAGAAUGUUUUCUCCCUUUCUUCAUAUCUCAGUUGAAAGGUCUCCUCUCCUCAUCAUCAUACUAUCUAAAGUAGAUUCCCUCCCUUGUUAACCUCUAGCGCAGCCAUUAGUUCCUUCAUAACACUUACCCUAACUUGCAAGUAUUUUGUUUGUUGAUAUAAUUUUUAUCUGACUUCCCCACUAAAAUGUAAGCUCCAUGAGGGCAAAAAUUGUGUGUUUUGUAUACUGAUGCAUCUCUAGCACUUGGUAUAGCAGGCAUUCAAUAAAUAUCAUUAAAUAAGUUUCACCCUUGUAAAAAAAAAAAAUAUAUAUAUAUAAAAUAUAUUCUCUACUUCCAAAAUAACACACUUUCACCAACAACAAGCACUCCAGCUAAUUAGGCAAUAGGCCAAUAAGCAAAGAAUUAUGGUAUAUUAGUCAAGAUUGGCUAGCUUAUGUUCUGACAAUAAACAAUUUCAAAAUCUCAGUUUCAAUUUUAAACUCAAAGAUACUAAUAAACAUUUGUUCUUUGCUCACACAAAGUCUAAUAUGGAACAGGCUUAGAGUUGUCCUCCAACCAGUGUCUGAGCAAUCCAGACCACUUUGAUCUUGUAACUCUGCCAUCCCAACAUGAGAUUCCACUUUCACUGCAGAAGAGGAAAUCUGUAGCAUCAUGCAGCAGCUUGUCACUACCUCAGCCCUCCUACUUCCACUUGCAUUUCACUAGCUAGAACCUUUCACAUGGCUCCACCAAACUGCAAUGGGACUGGGAAGGGAGAAUCAGAUAUUAGGGAGCAUUUAUAAUGCCUUCCAAGGGUGUGUUUCACUGCUUCCAAACUUGCUUAUGAUGAUGUUUUUCAUUUAUGUAAUGAAAUGCCAUAUGUUCUUAGUGUGUAUUCUCAGCAUAACGAGUACAUUUGGAGAAUAUUAAGUCAGUGGACUUUCCUUCUUGAAAAUUCCUGGUUCUGGGCCUAUCAUUAACCCCACUGAUUGAACCAGUGGAAAUAGUUGCCUCUUCGAAUGGAGAGAACCCUGCUGAAGGCAGCUUUGAGUUUCAAAAUAGUGUGUUUCAAGUCCACAUGGAGACGAUAGCCUGAAAGUAAGCACUUAUGAUUUUUGGAGGAGUCUUUGUUAUUAAGGAGAAAAGAGGCUUACAGAAGUCAGAUUCAGAAGACUGUAGUAUUUUUACAAUAAAUGAGAGUAAACAGUAUAAGGAUUUGAUGUAAGGGAAGUUCCUGCAGUGCAAGAAAGAAAGUCCUUUUGGUGCUGAGCGGAACAGUCUAAGAGAGAAAAGGUGAAGAACAAAAGGAAAAUGUAAAUGUGGUAUUCACACUUCCCUACUCCACACUCAGGAUAAACCUAGAGUAUGAGGUAGAGGCGGGAAUCUAGAGGGGAGGAAGCAUAGAAUAGGAACACCCAAAUAGACUUGAUGAAACAAAAAACAUCAAGGAUGGCUCCCGUGUCACCUGGGAAGACACACUUCAUGUAAGGAAUGGAAAAAAGGCAAUGGUAAGGGACAGGGGCCCUGGAUUUUUUACAACAUGCGAUAGAGAACUAUUUGUCUCCUUAAUUUAUUUAACUUUAAAAAAUAAUAAUGAAUGAAAGAAAAAUUACCCAUUUUUCAAAUAUGGGUGUGUAAGUUUUUUCCACUUUGUACAAAAAAUUUUAAAGAAACGAAAACUGCUGAACACCUUAUAUUCAGAAUUACUCCCUGUAUAAGCCCAUUCCAAUUCCAUAUACUGCUGAUUAAAUUUCCAUCAGUUGGCAGUUCUCUAAUAUCAGUUUCACUGCUAUUUAACUAACUACUGCCCUUUGCUACCAGUGUCUCUCUUGGAUGAGAGUCACUUUACUUGAAUAAGAUAACUUCUGAGAAUAAAUCUAUGCACUAUUUUGGAAGAAUUGCUCUAUAGAGUAAAAAAUAAUUCUGGAUAAUUGAAAGUUAUCUUGUGAGUAUCUGGACAUUAAGGAUACAUUUCAAGACUCCUGUUUUCACUAAAAUCCAAUAUUUGUUUAAGCACUUCAAGUUAAAGAGGAGCACCUUCCCCUUUCACCCUGACUAUCGUUGUUAAUUCGUUUUUGAAGCUAUAUAAGAACGUUUCUUUAAUCGGUUUUCCCUUAGGCAUACAUUAGCUCUCUGUUCAAGACUUAGUAGCAGAGAGUAGUAAGUAAAUGGUUAUUAGUGGUUCUUCAUAUAAAACACAUUUGAGUUUCUUAGAAGAAAACUAUGCAUAAAGAUUACUUUCAGAUAUCAUGUCUGUAGUUCGUUAAUAGAGAAGUUUCUCUGAACGUGUGGAACACUGUAAUAAGAUAAAUAAAUUUUUAAAAAGAAAAAGUAAGCAUAUAUACAAAAUGUAUGUAAUUUCAUUUGUCUUCACUUAUUUAAUAUUUAUAACCAUACAUUAAAUGAAAACCAAAUCCUACAAGCUUCAUGGUACAAAGUUUUGGUAAUACUUGGAUGAC